GUUGGGAUGAGCUUAAUUGUAUGUGAUGAAAAGGUUCAAGUUUGGGGUUAUACGGGAGAAAAUGGAAAAAGCAAGUGAAANGCAUUGAGCUCAAUUGUUGUAAAAAGAAAAAUUCAAGAGAAAAAGAAAAGAAAAGAAGAAAAGCAUGAAGAUGAGCUCAAUGAAAAAGAAAANAAAAGGGAAGAAGUUGGGAAUGAGAAAUUUUGGUGAGAGAGUUGUUAGUAAAUGUUGAAUAUUUUGUUAGCUCUCUUGACUCAAGGAUUUUGCAUUCUAGAAAAAUAAUUUUUUCUUGUUAACCCAACCUCAUUACAAGCCUUGAAAAAGUCCUUUUGAUGGCAUUUGCAUGUAAAGAUGUUGAUUGUUUAAGAUGACUGGCAAUUUUGUUUCAUGUAACUUGUGAACAA
This 404-nucleotide long non-coding RNA is filed under the name Vigna radiata. RNAcentral's name for it is "long non-coding RNA (VRAD_LNC014821)". Lineage: Eukaryota; Viridiplantae; Streptophyta; Magnoliopsida; Fabales; Fabaceae. The record is from RNAcentral.